GCUCAGGAUGAACGCUGGCGGCGUGCUUAACACAUGCAAGUCGAACGAUGAAGCCCAGCUUGCUGGGUGGAUUAGUGGCGAACGGGUGAGUAACACGUGAGUAACCUGCCCCUGACUCUGGGAUAAGCCCGGGAAACUGGGUCUAAUACCGGAUAUGACUUUUGACCGCAUGGUUGAGGGUGGAAAGAUUUAUCGGUUGGGGAUGGACUCGCGGCCUAUCAGCUUGUUGGUGAGGUAAUGGCUCACCAAGGCGACGACGGGUAGCCGGCCUGAGAGGGUGACCGGCCACACUGGGACUGAGACACGGCCCAGACUCCUACGGGAGGCAGCAGUGGGGAAUAUUGCACAAUGGGCGCAAGCCUGAUGCAGCGACGCCGCGUGAGGGAUGACGGCCUUCGGGUUGUAAACCUCUUUCAGUAGGGAAGAAGCGAAAGUGACGGUACCUGCAGAAGAAGCGCCGGCUAACUACGUGCCAGCAGCCGCGGUAAUACGUAGGGCGCAAGCGUUAUCCGGAUUUAUUGGGCGUAAAGAGCUCGUAGGCGGUUUGUCGCGUCUAUCGUGAAAGUCCGAGGCUCAACCUCGGAUCUGCGGUGGGUACGGGCAGACUAGAGUGAUGUAGGGGAGACUGGAAUUCCUGGUGUAGCGGUGAAAUGCGCAGAUAUCAGGAGGAACACCGAUGGCGAAGGCAGGUCUCUGGGCAUUUACUGACGCUGAGGAGCGAAAGCAUGGGGAGCGAACAGGAUUAGAUACCCUGGUAGUCCAUGCCGUAAACGUUGGGCACUAGGUGUGGGGGACAUUCCACGUUUUCCGCGCCGUAGCUAACGCAUUAA
RNAcentral lists this ribosomal RNA (830 nucleotides) under Glutamicibacter protophormiae. Its description in RNAcentral is "bacterial SSU rRNA". It matches the Rfam family "Bacterial small subunit ribosomal RNA", at positions 22 to 863 of the family's 1533-position model. Lineage: Bacteria; Bacillati; Actinomycetota; Actinomycetes; Micrococcales; Micrococcaceae. The record is from RNAcentral.